Gallus gallus (chicken) is the source of this 3809-nucleotide long non-coding RNA. The record is from Ensembl. NCBI's taxonomy places the organism in Eukaryota, Metazoa, Chordata, Aves, Galliformes, Phasianidae.
AGAAAUUGCAUCUGUAUACAUGAUAGGGUGUUCUGCUGAUGCUGCCCCACUGAGAAGAAGAGGCAGCACAGCCCUUCUGCAGGAGUUUUCCAGCAGGGACUAAGUGUGAUGUUCCUCCCUUCCUUGCAGCCAUGGUGGUUUGCAGCAGGUUUCUGCCUUGGUUUCCACAACCAUUGCCAACUGCUCAGCAUCUCCGGGAGGAUUCCCAGGAGGGGACACAGCCUGGAUCAAAAUCUGCUCCACUGGGGUUUUCCCCAAAGGAUUUCCUCUCCUUUCUGUAGAUCGGAGCUUAUGUGGCUUUGGUGUGCUGCCACCCGGACCAGGUGUCCUGCACCUUCUGGGCAAGGGAUAUCUAGAGGAGGAGAGGCACGACAGCACCCAGACAGCACAUCCAUACCAUGAAACCUUGGGCUACUCCUGGAUUAAUGGACCAGAGGAGAAAGCAGAAUUUCUAGCAUAUGGAAAAUGUCCUUGCUGCUCUUUUUCAAAAUCUGACUGUGGUCAGAAGUGUACUGAACUCAGAACUAUCUGAAACUUUUCUCCAGCUGAAAAUUCUAAGACAAUUGCAUUUCAGAAACAAUUCAACGUGAUGCUUGAAAAGAAAAUGUUCUUUUUGGACCCCAAGGCUGCUUAGCAAAUUUGAUGGGCUUAUGGUUCCAGAAGCUGAUGCAGAUUUCCAACAGGCACAUCGUGUCCUUUUUCAGCAAGAUGUGUGCCAUCACUUUUCUCUUUAUGAUCCUGUCUGAAAGGAACUUCUUCUACUGGACUGAAGGACAGAGGUCUCAUUACGCAGAAGAAGUGGAUGUUAUUAAUAAAUAAAUUCAGUCCCAAGUGCUGCGUGCCAAGAUAACCAAACACCUCAUGGGGCAGGAGGGACAGCUUGCAGACUCCACGGGAGCACACAAUUGUAGAACUCCAGAUUUCCAGAGGGAACUGUGCUGCUGCCAUGCCAAAAGUUGCUGAAACGCCAGCUCACCUCCUCUCCCUUAAUGCUGCAGCCUGGCUUAGGAGUCCUCCAUCCAUCCUCUGUCACAGCUACACACAUGAGCCCACAUUGUGCUGGAAGCUCCUGUUUGCUUUGGUGCCUGCUGAACUUGUACCGCUGCUUCCCACCUGGGCUAGUGCAGAACAAGGCAUUUUCCCACGGAGAAGAGACUUGUCACCAAUUGUCUUUUACAUCUUCUACAAGGGGGACCUGGUCUCAAGUGAACAUGGGCACGUUGAGGUCUCAAUUCACUGCGUUCUUACAGCACGGCAUUUUCAUGUGCUUUGUCUACCAACCCCAUUAAUACAGGCAGGGAAAACAGUUGUAAGAUGUAAGCAGCAUUGAGACAUCUGUGUGCUGCCUUUACACUCAGCCCCUCUCAAUGUGCUUUUGAGCACUGUCACAGAGUCUGCCAAAAUGUAGGUUGCUAUUAAGGUUAUUUAUUUGAAAUUUGGCUUUGGCUUCCCCUUUGCUCCCCAGGUAACAGCAUUGCACUGAAUGGGCCUGAACCAAGUUCUCUCCAUUAUGUACUUUUAGUUUGACAGUGAGGUGGAGGCCUCAGUUGUUUUCCAUGCAUCAGUCCCACAUUAACUGUACAAGUGCAGAAAAGAGGCACAGCAGAGAGGUAGGCAGCUUAAAAACCACAGCCCCAGGUUUCAAAGCCUGCACAGCUCCUGCAGGAGGCACUGCCCACUAAUGAGCUCUCAGGAGCAGCUCCUCAAAGAUUUGCAGACAGAUCUGUGCCUGCAAACAUCAUCUCCACUGAGAUCUUGCUCCUCCCAGAAGGCCAUGUCCCAUCACAGCACUGGUCCUGGUGUCUUGCACAAAAGAGUGUCAGAGAGAGAGAUCGUGCAAGAAACAUUGCUUAUCUGCCCUGAAUUGUGGGAAAUUGGAUAGUGGAUCAGGUCCUGGUAACACAUGGGCAGAUUUUCUAUCUCACACUUAGAAGGUUUGUGGAGUGACUCAGCCAAAAACCACUGAGCAGACAAGCAAUAAGUUGUGAGCCCAGAGCCUUUCUUCUCCAUUUGCCCUCAGUCUAAAAAGUCAAUAUUUCCCGAUAAUUAAUGAUAUCUACUUAAAUGACAGAAGAAGCAUGAUAAGUGAAGUAUUUCUCAAAGGAGAAGAAUAAAUUAACAGAAAACGAGUGAUUUGUAAUAUAAUAUCAUUUCAUUUAGAGAUCCUACGUCCAUCCUAUAGCAGGAAAACUGUACCACCUGUGCUCAGCAGUGACUACUGGACAAAUUCAGUGUCUUUCUAGGAAGGAGAAAUGCUGAAGUCCUACUUCAUGUCCUCCUUUGAACCACGCCUCGUGCAGACGAGGUCUGUAGAAUCAUAGAGCUGCUUGAGUUGGAUGGGCCCUUUAAAGGUCAUCUAGUCCAACUGCCCUGCAAUGAACAGGGACACCUACAGCUAGAUCAAGUUGCUCAGAGCUCAGUCCAGCCUGAAUCUGCCUUCCAUGCCUGGUACAAAUCACAUAACCAAAUCAAAGCUACUGACCAGAGUUUCUCAGGGACACAAAGCUACCAGCAAUCCAUGUGUUAAAAUAAAAAGUCCUUUCAGAUCACUGCUGAGGACCAUACGAGCAUAUGAGGACCUGUACCAGCUCUUCUUCAUGUCCUGUAGGUGAGGCUCACAGCAGCAGCCCUGCACUUCUCAGUUGCCACUCUUCCCAAGCCAAAAGCUGCUCCUGGAGCUACACGCUUACCAGCUUUUCACCUGUUGGGUCCUGACCACUUCACUGACAAGGUUGAUACCUUCAUAUGGGAAGGUGGUGGAGCACCACAGGCUGGUAACUGGCUUGUAACUGAGGAAUAGAUAAAACUGAGGUGUGUAAACCCUGUCCACUGCUCUCCAUAUCACUCAGCUCGACUCAGACCUGCCCAAACCAUCAGGUCUUGCAGGGCAGAAGCACUGCGUUCAGCACCACAGCAUCUUUUUAACCAAGACCUCUGGAAGCAAGAGUUCAUGUGGCUUUAUUCCUUUCUGCUAGAGGUUUGUGCUGUCAUAGAGUGAAAAAAUAAUGAGUUUUGUUUGCCACAGAAGUGUAGAGGACAGAGAUUUUUCAUUUGCAUGACUAUUUGGGGAGCUUUCACAGCAAAUGCAAAAUCCAAUUUCCUUCCAGUUUUUCAGCUACAGGGAAUAACGUGAGAGGCACCAAGGGCUGACAGCUGAUGGAGAGAAUUACAGCAGCCUCCAGUGUAAGCAGAGAGAGCAAGAUGCACCGCUAACCUCGCUGACACAGAAACAACAGACUGGGACCAGGCUCGCACCCAAACUUGCACCAUACUCAUGCCAUAUAGACAAGGGCUCGUACUUUGCUGUGGUUUAGGUGGUUCAGAAGUCUCCUGGGCAUCCUAGUGCCUGAUUUAGUUGUUGGAAACCCUGCCUGAAGCAUGCAAUUAGAGCUGGAUGGUCUUUAAGGUCCCUUCCAAUCCAAGCCAUUCUGUGAUUCUAUGAUAAUUCUGUGAUAAUUCUAUGUUUCUAUGAUUUGGCAUCAAUCCUCCUCUCGACAGAUAACUCACUUGAACAAAACCAAAAGCAUUUCCAUGGUCUUAUCAGCUUUCCCAUCUGGUUCUAUUUCUGCUUGUUUUACUCCUUUCUCUACUCUUCUCUCUGUUCCUUAUUUGGUGCAUAUACUUAUUUUUAAAAUGUGUGGUGCACUGUUCUGAACCUUAUUUGCUAGACAUCACAUUUCCUUUUCCUAAGCCUCCUGACACUGCUUACUGCUCCAUUUUAUGCCUAAUGCCGUCAGCUGCGCAGUAAUUACACAGAAAUGUGUUGGUUCCUCGAAUGUGUGUGGAAAUCGUGUCCUUCUGUGUGUGCC